Molecule: ribosomal RNA, 497 nt
Filed under: uncultured bacterium
Lineage: Bacteria
Description: partial 16S ribosomal RNA
Rfam family: Bacterial small subunit ribosomal RNA
Source: RNAcentral
GAUGAACGCUGGCGGCGUGCCUAAUACAUGCAAGUCGAGCGAACAGAUGAGGAGCUUGCUCCUCUGACGUUAGCGGCGGACGGGUGAGUAACACGUGGAUAACCUACCUAUAAAACUGGGAUAACUUCGGGAAACCGGAGCUAAUACCGGAUAAUAUAUUUAAUCGCAUGGUUCAAUAGUGAAAGACGGUUUUGCUGUCAAUUAUAGAUGGAUCCGCGCCGCAUUAGCUAGUUGGUAAGGUAACGGGUUACCAAGGCAACGAUGCGUAGCCGACCUGAGAGGGUGAUCGGCCACACUGGAACUGAGACACGGUCCAGACUCCUACGGGAGGCAGCAGUAGGGAAUCUUCCGCACUGGGCGAAAGCCUGACGGAGCAACGCCGCGUGAGUGAUGAAGGUCUUCGGAUCGUAAAACUCUGUUAUUAGGGAAGAACAAAUGUGUAAGUAACUAUGCACGUCUUGACGGUACCUAAUCAGAAAGCCACGGCUAACUACGUG